AUACAAAUUUUAAAGUAAAUUAAAAUUAAAUGUAAAUAUCAAUCAAUUAUUAUAAUAUAUUUACUUUAUAAAUAUCUAUAAUCUGUGCAUGAACACGGGAAAGUCAACUAGUAAAUAUUUUAAAAGAAGUUGAACAUGAUAAAACAAAAUCAUUUUCUAUUGUUCUCCAUUUAGUAAUAGCAUAGAGAUGGUUGAAUAAUUUAUUACCUUCUUUUUUUACGUAAUUAAGAGUACCAAAAAAAAAUGUUGAAAUUUUUUUUUUUGGAACACGUUAAAAAUAUAUUUAAUGGAGAUUAAUUACCCAUUAUAUAAAUGUCUGACUUCGAGAGUAACCAAGCGACUUCUUAGUCUAAACGACAUUCAACCUGUUCAUCUUCUUCCCCAGCCAAAUCAAACCUCGGCAAUGGCUGAAUCUCACACGCGGGAGACUAACUGCGUGUACGUAGAGACCAGCCUAGACACUCAUCUCCUGGUUCUCCUUCACGACCGUGAAACCAUUUCCGAUUUCAAAGUGAAACUAUGCAAGGAGCAUCAUCAGUGUUUUCCCCAACUUGGAAAAAUUGAUAUAUCUGCGGUUAAGGUUAAUCGUCAGAAUACAUUGGGUCUCCUUUUAGAUUAUCACUUGCCAGAUUCUAUGCUCCUGAGUAUGGUUUUCAACGGCAUCGGUCAUAAUUGUUGGUUUGUGUUUGUUGAUGCUGCCGU
This is a long non-coding RNA of Brassica napus (rape), 702 nucleotides long. RefSeq lists it as uncharacterized. The transcript is spliced from 3 exons. Lineage: Eukaryota; Viridiplantae; Streptophyta; Magnoliopsida; Brassicales; Brassicaceae. The record is from RefSeq and is a predicted model, not a curated record.